This 466-nucleotide ribosomal RNA is filed under the name uncultured bacterium. Its description in RNAcentral is "partial 16S ribosomal RNA". It matches the Rfam family "Bacterial small subunit ribosomal RNA", at positions 28 to 507 of the family's 1533-position model. The record is from RNAcentral.
GAUGAACGCUGGCGGCGUGCUUAACACAUGCAAGUCGAGCGGAAAGGCCACAGCUUGCUGUGGUACUCGAGUGGCGAACGGGUGAGUAACACGUGGGUGAUCUGCCCUGUACUUCGGGAUAAGCUUGGGAAACUGGGUCUAAUACCGGAUAGGAAUCACAUGUGGGUGUGUGGUUGGAAAGCUUUUGCGGUAUGGGAUGAGCUCGCGGCCUAUCAGCUUGUUGGUGGGGUAAUGGCCUACCAAGGCGUCGACGGGUAGCCGGCCUGAGAGGGUGUACGGCCACAUUGGGACUGAGAUACGGCCCAGACUCCUACGGGAGGCAGCAGUGGGGAAUAUUGCACAAUGGGCGCAAGCCUGAUGCAGCGACGCCGCGUGGGGGAUGACGGCCUUCGGGUUGUAAACUCCUUUCGUCAGGGACGAAGCGAAAGUGACGGUACCUGGAUAAGAAGCACCGGCUAACUACGUG